GCGGCGGACGGGUGAGUAACACGUGGGUAACCUGCCUGUAAGACUGGGAUAACUCCGGGAAACCGGAGCUAAUACCGGAUAGUUCCUUGAACCGCAUGGUUCAAGGAUGAAAGACGGUUUCGGCUGUCACUUACAGAUGGACCCGCGGCGCAUUAGCUAGUUGGUGAGGUAACGGCUCACCAAGGCGACGAUGCGUAGCCGACCUGAGAGGGUGAUCGGCCACACUGGGACUGAGACACGGCCCAGACUCCUACGGGAGGCAGCAGUAGGGAAUCUUCCGCAAUGGACGAAAGUCUGACGGAGCAACGCCGCGUGAGUGAUGAAGGUUUUCGGAUCGUAAAGCUCUGUUGUUAGGGAAGAACAAGUGCAAGAGUAACUGCUUGCACCUUGACGGUACCUAACCAGAAAGCCACGGCUAACUACGUGCCAGCAGCCGCGGUAAUACGUAGGUGGCAAGCGUUGUCCGGAAUUAUUGGGCGUAAAGGGCUCGCAGGCGGUUUCUUAAGUCUGAUGUGAAAGCCCCCGGCUCAACCGGGGAGGGUCAU
This 545-nucleotide ribosomal RNA is filed under the name Bacillus sp. (in: firmicutes). Its description in RNAcentral is "bacterial SSU rRNA". It matches the Rfam family "Bacterial small subunit ribosomal RNA", at positions 95 to 626 of the family's 1533-position model. The record is from RNAcentral. Lineage: Bacteria; Bacillati; Bacillota; Bacilli; Caryophanales; Bacillaceae.